RNAcentral lists this ribosomal RNA (1002 nucleotides) under Triticum aestivum (bread wheat). RNAcentral describes it as "partial small subunit ribosomal RNA". Lineage: Eukaryota; Viridiplantae; Streptophyta; Magnoliopsida; Poales; Poaceae. The record is from RNAcentral.
AUGGAUCUGGACGCACACUAUUUGUCUAGUAGUAGGACUACCAAUAUUUUGCUUGACUUGACCUGCCAAAGUCUUUGCUUACUGUUUUCUUUUUCAUCCUUACCCUCUCGCGACCGCGUCGCCCCGCGGGCGACCGACCGCGCCCCGGUUCCUCCUUCGCCAGCUCUCCCUCUCUCUCCCCCUCCUCGCCGCCGUCGCCGGCGUUUGCUGCCGGGCCUGGCCCGGGCGACGCUGCUGGCGGGGCCCCCUGCCAUUCCCCUCACGGUUGCUCUCCGACGCAGGGCGGAGGGCGCCGGUGGGUGCUCCCUAGGCGACGGCAGUCCAACGUGGCGGCGGGGCUUCCUGGCGCGGCGCGGGAGAUCGGCUGGACGGUGGCGUCGCCGUUGGCGGCGGGGUGGCGCGGCGGCGCGGCUAGGCGGCGCCCGCUCGCCCAGAUCUAGGCCCUUCGGGCCCCAUCUAGGUCUGUGCGGGCCGACGGCGGGCGGGUCGGCGGCGUGGAUUCUAGGAGGCGGGGGAGCGGCGAUGGGCGGUGGGCGCCGCCCUGCUGCAGCGUGGCCGGAGGGGCUUAGCGGGCCUGAUUUGGGCCUGGUCGGGCCAGGGGUGGCCUGGUAUGCCCUGCUGCUGCGUCCGGACAGCGACCGCGACGGUGCCGGAGGCACGAGCCUCCUGCACGACGGCGGAGGAGGUGGUUCCCUCCCGCGCGACUACGGCGCUGCUGCUCCCGUCGACCAACGCCUCCUCUCCUUGUUCUCUUGGCCUCGUGGUGGUGAUCUCAGUGAGACGGCGUGGGUGGCGCUGCGCCCGCAGUGGCGCAUGCUGGUGGGCGGCGAGCGGGCUAGUUGGCUCCGAUCCGGUUGGGCGGUGGGGUUUGGAGUUGGGAGAAAUCCUUGUCGGGUCUUCCGACUCCGAUGCGGUGACACCUGCGGGUGCCACCAGUCCUCCCUGGAGGGUGUCAGUGGUCUUCAUUCCCCUCUACCCUCCGCGUGCCGGGAGAAACCCUAG